GCUACGCAGAAAUAAAGCUUGCUUCGCUGAGGUCUCCUGAUCGUUCUUGCUGGCGAGAGCGACAAGUGGUGCCGAAACCCGGGAAACCCGAAACCUACACAGAGGAGUUCUCAGUAAACGCAACGAUCUGGAUGCCCAAGUGCCUAUCUGGGUCCCGGAGCGACUGAUUAGAAGAAUCGAUCAACAUGGCCCGCCCCGUCCUGAUGCUCGCCCUGAUAGCGAUCCUGGCAACACCAGCAUCCCUUCAACAGAUGCACCAAUGGGCAAUAGUGAAAGCCUGGCCAUUCCCCAUGCCACUGACGAAUGAGUCCGCCAUCCUCCCUCCUGUAUACCUACUUUCAUUCCCAUGCCCGUUUCUGUAAAUCCUAACAAUUCACCUGUAUUGCUCUCAAGACAUAAAAGAGACUUUGGGAUCACUGUAGCCAUUAUUGCGGCUGUAGCAGCCUCCGCAGCUGCAGCAAUGGCAGCGGCUGUAGCUCUCACCACAUCUGUAACAAGUGGACAUUCUCCAGAAACUAUUGACGACCGGAUGCAUACAAUCACUUUCUGGACUUUGCAUAACCUCCGUGGCCUAUAAUGACCUUUCUAUUGCUGCUAAUCUGUCGAAAGAGUUAAGCAGAUGAGAUUGACAUAGCUCCAUUACGGGAUUGGGUAUCUGUUGUAAAUCCUUAUGUUCCGCUGUUUUGCAUCAUUACGUAAACAACAAUGUAGGCAACAGUUGGCGCUAGUACAAGCUUGCAUGGCACUGGAAGCUGGUACAUUUCCCCAAAUCUGGCUGGCAGCGCUAGAUCGGUAGUCAAUGAUGGGUAAGAUUGGCUGCAUGCACAUAGCAACCUAAGCCAGGAGUUCUCCAACCAGGGGGAAUUAUCCAAUGACGGGUAAGCAUGUUCAUGGCAGCUGACAACCUAAGACAGGCACGGUCUCCUGCCUUGCAUGCCUAAUAUAAAAGAAAAGGGGGAGAUGUCGGUGCCCCAGCGGCUUGUAGUGCAUGCGCGGUGAUGCUUCUGGGCUCCCCCGUGCCCAAUCGUUGCCUCGGUGGCCGCUGCAGGGUGGCGACGGUUCGGAGCUGCUCCGGCUGGGGGGGGGGGGGCGCUGCACGACUUUUUCGGUGCCCGAAAGUAAACACGCCAUUAAGAUGGCGGCUGGAUGCGAGCCAGUAGGCAGAACUUAGGAUUUUGUAUCUAUGUGGCUGCGAGUGAUUGGUUGUGCAACCUUGGUAUAUAUAGACAUGCACAGGCAGGGGAGAGAAGGAUCCCAACAGCUACGCAGAAAUAAAGCUUGCUUCGCUGAGGUCUCCUGGUUGUUCUUGCUGGCGAGAGCGACACCAGUCAAUGGUUUUGGGGAAGAGUUUUUCUUGUGCAAUUCCCUGUGUGCAGCUUGCACACUCUAUCUGUCACUCUCUUGCUCUCUCUCUCUUUCUCUCCUGCUC
Mustela lutreola (European mink) is the source of this 1429-nucleotide long non-coding RNA. RefSeq lists it as uncharacterized. The record is from RefSeq and is a predicted model, not a curated record. The transcript has 2 exons. Lineage: Eukaryota; Metazoa; Chordata; Mammalia; Carnivora; Mustelidae.